AUUUGCAGUUUGCAUAUUAUAAGUUGAAUGACAUGAAGAAUGCUGCUCCAUGUGUUGCUAGCUAUAUGCUCUUUGAUCAGAAAGAUGAAGUCAUGAAACAGAAUCUGGUUUACUAUGAGUACCACAGAGACAAGUGGGGCCUCACAGAUGAGCAUUUCCAGCCUAGAACAGAAGCUGUUCUAUACUUUAAU
Molecule: long non-coding RNA, 191 nt
Organism: Trichosurus vulpecula (common brushtail)
Lineage: Eukaryota; Metazoa; Chordata; Mammalia; Diprotodontia; Phalangeridae
Exons: 3
Source: RefSeq, a predicted model, not a curated record